AAUAGAUACCCUGGUAGUCCAUGCCGUAAACGUUGGGCACUAGGUGUGGGCUCAUUCCACGAGUUCCGUGCCGCAGCAAACGCAUUAAGUGCCCCGCCUGGGGAGUACGGCCGCAAGGCUAAAACUCAAAGGAAUUGACGGGGGCCCGCACAAGCGGCGGAGCAUGCGGAUUAAUUCGAUGCAACGCGAAGAACCUUACCAAGGCUUGACAUGCACGGGAAGCCACCAGAGAUGGUGGUCUCUUUGGACACUCGUGCACAGGUGGUGCAUGGUUGUCGUCAGCUCGUGUCGUGAGAUGUUGGGUUAAGUCCCGCAACGAGCGCAACCCUCGUCCCAUGUUGCCAGCGGGUUAUGCCGGGGACUCAUGGGAGACUGCCGGGGUCAACUCGGAGGAAGGUGGGGAUGACGUCAAAUCAUCAUGCCCCUUAUGUCUUGGGCUUCACGCAUGCUACAAUGGCCGGUACAAAGGGCUGCGAUACCGUAAGGUGGAGCGAAUCCCAAAAAGCCGGUCUCAGUUCGGAUUGGGGU
This 528-nucleotide ribosomal RNA is filed under the name uncultured bacterium. RNAcentral's name for it is "bacterial SSU rRNA". It matches the Rfam family "Bacterial small subunit ribosomal RNA", at positions 777 to 1304 of the family's 1533-position model. The record is from RNAcentral.